UAACACGUAGGGGGCGAGCGUUGUCCGGAUUUAUUGGGCGUAAAGAGCUCGUAGGCGGCUCGGUAAGUCGGGUGUGAAAACUCGGGGCUCAACCCCGAGACGCCACUCGAUACUGCCAUGGCUAGAGUCCGGUAGGGGAGCGUGGAAUUCCUGGUGUAGCGGUGAAAUGCGCAGAUAUCAGGAGGAACACCGGUGGCGAAGGCGGCGCUCUGGGCCGGAACUGACGCUGAGGAGCGAAAGCGUGGGGAGCAAACAGGAUUAGAUACCCUGGUAGUCCACGCCGUAAACGUUGGGCACUAGGUGUGGGGUCCUAUCGACGGAUCCCGUGCCGUAGCUAACGCAUUAAGUGCCCCGCCUGGGGAGUACGGCCGCAAGGCUA
This 379-nucleotide ribosomal RNA is filed under the name uncultured bacterium. Its description in RNAcentral is "bacterial SSU rRNA". It matches the Rfam family "Bacterial small subunit ribosomal RNA", at positions 521 to 896 of the family's 1533-position model. The record is from RNAcentral.